Molecule: ribosomal RNA, 484 nt
Filed under: uncultured bacterium
Lineage: Bacteria
Description: partial 16S ribosomal RNA
Rfam family: Bacterial small subunit ribosomal RNA
Source: RNAcentral
AUUGAACGCUGGCGGCAGGCCUAACACAUGCAAGUCGAGCGGAUGAAGGGAGCUUGCUCCUGGAUUCAGCGGCGGACGGGUGAGUAAUGCCUAGGAAUCUGCCUGGUAGUGGGGGAUAACGACCGGAAACGGGCGCUAAUACCGCAUACGUCCUGAGGGAGAAAGUGGGGGAUCUUCGGACCUCACGCUAUCAGAUGAGCCUAGGUCGGAUUAGCUAGUUGGUGGGGUAAAGGCCUACCAAGGCGACGAUCCGUAACUGGUCUGAGAGGAUGAUCAGUCACACUGGAACUGAGACACGGUCCAGACUCCUACGGGAGGCAGCAGUGGGGAAUAUUGGACAAUGGGCGAAAGCCUGAUCCAGCCAUGCCGCGUGUGUGAAGAAGGUCUUCGGAUUGUAAAGCACUUUUAGUUGGGAGGAAGAGCAGUAAGUUAAUACCUUGCUGUUUUGACGUUACCAACAGAAUAAGCACCGGCUAACUACGUG